GUAUCUGUGAUUUAAUUAAAACGUAACUUUUUUCACCUAAUUAGUUAGCAUAAUUUUGAGAUGUUUGUAACGUUUUUCCAAGGGACAUUCUCUAUUAAACUGUUCCAAUAUAGAAUUAUAUAAGGAACAGUAAUACCAUUUUGGUAUAAAGUCCUAAUUGUUUUAGUUUGGUACACAACAUAGAAGCAUAAAAUCCCCACAGUAGUAUCAGAUAAGUCCAUAUUGUGAGUCUUUGGCCAUGGGAAAUUAAUCCCUAACAGUCGCCCAGCAGCAUUCAGAUUCCAGAAGGAAUUGCAUCAAAUAUUAUACUCCUUAACCCAAACAGGAAUUUGAAAUUUCUGCAAAAAA
This is a long non-coding RNA of Etheostoma cragini (Arkansas darter), 348 nucleotides long. RefSeq lists it as uncharacterized. The record is from RefSeq and is a predicted model, not a curated record. The transcript has 2 exons. NCBI's taxonomy places the organism in Eukaryota, Metazoa, Chordata, Actinopteri, Perciformes, Percidae.